CAACUCGCCUGCAUGAAGUUGGAAUUGCUAGUAAUCGCGAAUCAGAAUGUCGCGGUGAAUACGUUCCCGGGCCUUGUACACACCGCCCGUCACACCAUGAGAGUCGGUAACACCCGAAGCCUGUGAGCUAACCGUAAGGAGGCAGCAGUCGAAGGUGGGGUUNAUGAUUGGGGUGAAGUCGUAACAAGGUAUC
This 193-nucleotide ribosomal RNA is filed under the name uncultured bacterium. RNAcentral describes it as "partial 16S ribosomal RNA". It matches the Rfam family "Bacterial small subunit ribosomal RNA", at positions 1308 to 1500 of the family's 1533-position model. The record is from RNAcentral.